Rosa chinensis is the source of this 466-nucleotide long non-coding RNA. RefSeq lists it as uncharacterized. Lineage: Eukaryota; Viridiplantae; Streptophyta; Magnoliopsida; Rosales; Rosaceae. The transcript is spliced from 3 exons. The record is from RefSeq and is a predicted model, not a curated record.
ACGACAUCGUUUUGAUGUUUUGAGAGUUAAAACUCCUUCCGGUCUCGAGCUGAAGUCAUUUUCGAUUCCUUCAGCCUCCUCCAUCAAAACUCCGACACUUUCACUUCCAAAUCCCAAUUCCCAGGCAACAAAUUUGAUAAAAUCAUCAAGAGCCCAUGAGUUUUCUCAAGGAUUUGGCUCUAAAGGAGGCUUUUUUCGCACUUGGAGCAAGAGAUUUUCUCACUUGGAGAGUUGGAAUCGGAUUUGCAGCAAAGGAUUUAAGAUCAAACACCUUCAAGUAUAGUGAGGCUGGCUAGAGUACUAAUCACUGAUAAUUAGCUUCUGGGGCACAUGAUGUGGCUGCAUAGACAAGAUUCCUUCAAGGAGAAGUUUGAGGGAUCUCAAUGAAGCCAGUAACAAUGUUGCUGAUAAUCAGCUUUUAAGCUUUGAGCCAUUACCAUCAGAAUUGUAUGUAAACAAUUCCCAA